CAACUGUUUAUUCAUUUCCAUAGAUGCUGCCUGACGUGCUGAGUUCCUCCAGCAUUGUGUGUGUGUGUUGCUUCGGAUUUCCAGCAUCUGAACAAUCUCUUGAUUUUAUGAUUUGCUGCCCCACCAGGCUCAGAACCGAACUGCCCAAGGUCCUGGAGAAGAUGGAGAAGAUAUUUCCUUUGUAUAUUCUCCUUAUGACAACAUAGAUUUCCUCCGGAUGUUCCAGCUCCCUCCCACAUCCCAAAGACGUGCGAGUUGGGGCUGCCUGACUCGCUGAGAGACCCCGGCACCCUCUGUUUUUAUUGCAGGUUUUCAGCAUCUGCGGUUCCUUUGCAGCUUGGAAGCUGGAAGCCGCUGUCCUGCGUCGAGAAAGGGCAAUAUGCUGAUGAGCUGAAUCCGGGCCCAGGCCUGACCGAUGAUGUAAUUGGACACAGCAACAAGAUGAUCCAAGGCCACAUGGAGAGACAUUGAGAUCAUGUCUGCUGUAGACCUAUUGUAGCAACAGGCAAAUUGCAAUGGGUCCAGGAGUUGAUUCUCGUCAUGACCAACCUCUCAAAGCAUUUCAUCACCAUAGACAUAAGUGCAUGAUGUCGAGACAUCAGAGACUUAUGGAGAAGAGGAGUUAUAAGCCAUGUCUCCCUUCUCUCAUUAUGGGCAAUGUGAGAUCGCUGGGUAAUAAAAUGGACGAGUUGACAGCGAUAGUCAGGAGUCAGAGGACUUUUUGGGAGAGCAGUGUUAUAUGUUUUACUGAAACGUGGCUGCACGAGGACAUACCCGACCAAAACGUUUCCAUAGAGGCCUUCCAGACCGUUCGGGCCAAUCGGAAUUGCACUGAGAGCAGUAAGCAUAAAGGAGGGGGGCUUGCUGUUCUGGUUAACAGCAGAUGGUGCAAUCCUGGUCAUAUUACGAUCAAGGAAUGUGUUUGUAGCCCGGAUAUUGAACUUUUUGCUGUUGGACUCCAGCCAUAUUACUUGCCAAGAGAGUGUCACAUGCAAUUGUGGUUGUUGUGUACGUCCCUCCCUCUGCCAACCCGACGUCAGCGUGUAACAUCGUUCACACCGUCAUAGCCGGACUACAAACCCAGCACCCGAGUGCCCUCAUUACCAUCUCGCGUGACUUCAACCAUGUUACCAUAGAUAGAGCACUGCCCAACUUCACGCAGUAUCUGAGCUGUACAACCAGAGGGGAGAGGACCCUGGACUUGAUGUAUGCUAACGUUAAGGAUGCAUACAGCUCCUCUCCCCUCCCCCCACUGGGACGGUCAGAUCACAACCUGGUGCAUCUCAAACCUUGCUACGUGCCGCUGGUGAAGAAUAAACCUGUAACCUCGAGGUCAAUGAGGACAUGGUCGGGGGAGGCUUUGAGGCACUCCAGGAUUGUUUUGAGGUGACAUACUGGCAGGCCCUCUGUGAGCCACAUGGAGAGGACAUUGAUGGGCUCACAGAGUGCAUCACUGGUACAUCAACAUCUGUGUGGACUGCAAUGUUCCAGCAAGAACUGUCCUUUGUUAUUCAAAUAACAAGCCAUGGGUAACAAAGGACAUUAAGGACAUCCUGAACGCUAAAAAGAGGAUGUUUAGAGAAGGAAAUAGGGAGGAGCUGAGGACAAUACAGAGGGACCUGAAAACCAAGAUCAGAGAGACUAAAGACAGGUAUAGGAGGAAGCUUGAGUGGAGACUCCAGCAGAACAACAUGAGAAAGGUCUGGAGUUGGAUGAGGACCAUCACUGGGUUCUGGCAAACCAGCAACAGAGGAGCUGAAGGCAGUGUGGACAGGGCCAACGAACUUAACCUGUUCUUCAAUAGAUUUCUUCAAUGGCCCCUGCCCACCCCCCACAUGAUUCAUCUGUUGUCGGCCCCCAACCAACACUUACUCCACUCUCCCCUCCUCACAGCCCCCCACCCUGCACUCAUGACUACACCCCUCCCUCACCUGAAACCACCACGGUGGGCUUCACAGCUGAACAGGUGAAAAGACAGCUGAAAUAUCUCCACCCAAGCAAGGCUGCAGGCCCGGAUGGUGUCAGCCCUAGGGUGCUCAAAGCCUCUGCCCCCCCAGCUAUGUGGGGUACUUCACCAUGUCUUCAACCUGAGAUUGAGUCUCCAGAGGGUUCCUGUGCUGUGGAAGACGACCAGCCUCGUUCCUGUACCGAAGACACUGCGCCCCUGUGGCUCCAAUGACUACAGACCGGUGGCAUUGACCUCCCACAUCAUGAAGACCCUGGAGAGACUUGUUCUAGAGCAGCUCCAGUCUAUGGUUAGGCCACACUUUGACCCCUCUAGUUCGCCUAUCAGCCCUGACUAGGAGUUGAGGAUGCCAUCGUCUACCUGCUGAACCGUGUCUACACCCACCUGGACAAGCCGGCGAGCACUGUGAGGGUCAUGUUUUUUGACUUCUCCAAUGUAUUCAACACCAUCCGCCCUGCUCUUCUGGGUGAGAAGCUGACAGUGAUGCAGGUGGAUGCUUUCCUGGUGUCAUGGAUUAUUGAUUACCUUACUGACCACGGUAUGUUCGCUUGCAACACUGUGUGUCAGACAGGGUGGUCAGCAGCACUGGGGCUCCACAGGGGACUGUCCUGUCUCCCUUUCUCUUCACCAUCUACACCUCGGACUUCAACUACUGCACAGAGUCUUGCCAUCUUCAGAAGUUUUCUGAUGACUCUGCCAUAGUUGGAUGCAUCAGCAAGUGAGAUGAGGCUGAGUACAGGGCUAAGGUGGGAAACUUUGUCACAUGGUGUGAGAAGAAUCAUCUGCAGCUUAAUGUGAAAAAGACUAAGGAGCUGGUGGUGGACCUGAGGAGGGCUAAGGCAUCGGUGACCUCUGUUUCCAUCCAAGGGGUCAGUGUGGACAUAGUGAAGGAUUACAAAUACCUGGGGAUAUGAAUGGACAAUAAACUGGACUGAUCAAAGAACACUGAGGCUGUCUACAAGAAGGGUCAGAGCCGUCUCUAUUUCCUGAGGCGACUGACGUCCUUUAACUUCUGCCAGACGAUGCUGAAGAUGUUCUAUGAGGCUGUGGUGGCCAGUGCUAUCAUGUUUGCUGUUGUGUGUUGGGGCAGCAGGCUGAGGGUAGCAGACACCAACAGAAUCAACCAACUCAUUCGUAAGGCCAGUGAUGUUGUGGGGGUGGAACUGGACUCUCUGACGGUGGUGUCUGAAAAGAGGAUGCUGUCCAAGUUGCAUGCCAUCUUGGACAAUGACUCCCAUCCACUCCAUAAUGUACUGGUUAGGCACAGGGGUACAUUCAGCCAGAGACUCAUUCCACCGAGAUGCAACACUGAGCGUCAUAGGAAGUCAUUCCUGCCUGUGGCCAUCAAACUUUACAACUCCUCCCUCGGAGUGUCAGACACCCUGAGCCACUAGGCUGGUCCUGGACUUAUUUCCACUUGGCAUGAUUUACUUAUUAGUAUUUAAUUAUAUAUUGUUUUAUAUUGCUAUAUUUUUUCACAAUUCUUGGUUGGUCCGUCUGUAAUGAAACCCAAUUUCCCUCGGGAUUAAUAAAGUAUGUCUGUCUGUCUAUCUGUCUGUCUAUUGGACAAUAAUCAUUAAGGCAGCUCACACUGCUCUUUCUUGGGCACUGGUAUAAUUGUCGCCCUUUAAAAGUAGGUGGGAACUUCUGACUGUAGCAGUGAGAGAUUGAAAAUGACUUUGAAUACCCCUGCCAGUUGGUUGGCACAGGUUUUCAGAGCCUUUCCAGGUACUCCAUUGGCCCAUGCCACCUCGCAAGGGUUCUCCCUCCUGAAAGACAGGCUGACGCUGGCCUCAAUGAAGUGCUUGCCUUCCUAACUACUUUCUGAACUUACCUGUUAACUUCUUGUAGUUCAUGCUCUGGGACACCUACAACUUCACUCCUUUACAAUAUUUUUCCAUCUAGAUAAUAAUCUGCCCUUUGAUUUUUGCUUAUGAAAAAGCAUGAAGUCACACUUACCCCACAUUAAACUCCAUUAGCUCAGUUUUUCCCACUUCCUUGUGUAGGGCUGUCAGUACCAUUAACUGUGGUGUUGUUAACUGUUCAGGCUAACAAAAUGGCUUCUCUUGUAAUGCUACUUAAUGCUGUAAUGGGUUUCUGUAGCUGGAGUGUUUGGGUUAUAACUGUAGAUAAGUGGGGUACUAACCAAUGGAGAAUUGUUAUGCUAUCUUGUAUGUGUGAGCUGAGUGGGAGUUCGGUCUUUUUCGAGAGGCAAGUGAGGAGGACGGAUGUGUGAGGAGCGGACAGCGGUUCCAGGGCAGCGGAUACUGGACAUCGGCGGUUCGGACGGUGGCCGAAGGCUCAGAAGGUCAUUGUGGAUGGAACCGGAGGCGUGAGCUCCAACGUAUUAAAAUAUUAUGUGAACAAACUGAUAAGCUUACUGAUUUGGAGCCUUUAGGUUAUCUGUUUCAACUAACCCAUCACUAAGAGAUAACUAUAAAGUUGCAAUUAUUUCCUCGCCUUUGGUGCAUUGUCUGGUAUUUGUGUACUGGGGGGGCAUUACACUGUAUUUACAUCAAAGUAUUGCACUGUUGGCAGGGCAAUGGCGGUUCACCCUAGAUGAGCGGGGGUAAAUUGGGGGCACGGAGGCUACACUUGAUUUAUCUUUGACCUACUUCAGAGUCACAAUCUGUCCUUUCAGUUACUUUCAUACCAUCAGCAAACUUCCAAUCAGAAUCGGAACCACUAUCACUGAGCUGACAUGGAAUUUGAUAUUUUGCCACAUUGACUUACAAAAUUAAAUAACUUGUGCAAAGGAAAAGGAAUAGCAAGCUAGUUUUUCAGAUGUUUGUUGACCAUUCAGAAAUCUGACGGUGGAGGGGAAGAAGCUGCUUCUGAAUCGUUGAGUGUGAAU
Molecule: long non-coding RNA, 4820 nt
Organism: Hypanus sabinus (Atlantic stingray)
Lineage: Eukaryota; Metazoa; Chordata; Chondrichthyes; Myliobatiformes; Dasyatidae
Exons: 3
Source: RefSeq, a predicted model, not a curated record